CCUACGGGUGGCUGCAGUGGGGAAUUUUGGACAAUGGGGGCAACCCUGAUCCAGCCAUGCCGCGUGCGGGAAGAAGGCCUUCGGGUUGUAAACCGCUUUCGGCCGGAACGAAAUCGCCGGGGAGAACAUCCCCGGUGGAUGCCGGUACCGGAAGAAGAAGCACCGGCUCACUACGUGCCAGCAGCCGCGGUAAUACGUAGGGUGCGUACGUUGAUCGGAAUUACUGGAGGUAAAGCGUGCACACAGGGUUGAAAGCCCCGGGCGUAACCUGGGAACUGCGUUUGUGACUGGCGGGCUGGAGUGCGGAAGAGGGAGGUGGAAUGCCACGUGUAGCAGUGAAAGGCGUAGAGAUGUGGAGGAACACCGAUGGCGAAGGCAGCCUCCUGGUCUAGCACUGACGCUCAUGCACGAAAGCGUGGGGAGCAAACAGGAUUAGAUACCCGAGUAGUC
RNAcentral lists this ribosomal RNA (450 nucleotides) under uncultured bacterium. RNAcentral's name for it is "partial 16S ribosomal RNA". It matches the Rfam family "Bacterial small subunit ribosomal RNA", at positions 338 to 795 of the family's 1533-position model. The record is from RNAcentral.